GUAGGUGGCAAGCGUUGUCCGGAAUUAUUGGGCGUAAAGCGCGCGCAGGUGGUUCUUUAAGUCUGAUGUGAAAGCCCCCGGCUCAACCGGGGAGGGUCAUUGGAAACUGGGGAACUUGAGUGCAGGAGAGGAAAGUGGAAUUCCACGUGUAGCGGUGAAAUGCGUAGAUAUGUGGAGGAACACCAGUGGCGAAGGCGACUUUCUGGCCUGUAACUGACACUGAGGCGCGAAAGCGUGGGGAGCAAACAGGAUUAGAUACCCUGGUAGUCCAGCCGUAAACGAUGAGUGCUAAGUGUUGGGGGGGUUUCCGCCCCCUCAGUGCUGCAGCUAACGCAUUAAGCACUCCGCCUGGGGAGUACGGUCGCAAGACUG
This 372-nucleotide ribosomal RNA is filed under the name uncultured organism. RNAcentral describes it as "partial 16S ribosomal RNA". It matches the Rfam family "Bacterial small subunit ribosomal RNA", at positions 527 to 896 of the family's 1533-position model. The record is from RNAcentral.